RNAcentral lists this ribosomal RNA (497 nucleotides) under uncultured bacterium. RNAcentral describes it as "partial 16S ribosomal RNA". It matches the Rfam family "Bacterial small subunit ribosomal RNA", at positions 28 to 507 of the family's 1533-position model. The record is from RNAcentral.
GAUGAACGCUGGCGGCGUGCCUAAUACAUGCAAGUCGAGCGAACGGACGAGAAGCUUGCUUCUCUGAUGUUAGCGGCGGACGGGUGAGUAACACGUGGAUAACCUACCUAUAAGACUGGGAUAACUUCGGGACACCGGAGCUAAUACCGGAUAAUCUUUUGAACCGCAUGGUUCAAAAGUGAAAGACGGUCUUGCUGUCACUUAUAGAUGGAUCCGCGCUGCAUUAGCUAGUUGGUAAGGUAACGGCUUACCAAGGCAACGAUGCGUAGCCGACCUGCGAGGGUGAUCGGCCACACUGGAACGUGGACACGGACCAGACGACUACGGGAGGCAGCAGUAGGGAAUCUGCCGCAAUAGUCGAAAGCCUGACGGAGCAACGCCGCGUGAGUGAUGAAGGUCUUCGGAUCGUAAAACUCGGUUAUUAGGGAAGAACAUAUGUGUAAGUAACUGAGCACAGCUUGACGGUACCUAAUCAGAAAGCCACGGCUAACUACGUG